RNAcentral lists this long non-coding RNA (1531 nucleotides) under Daucus carota (carrot). RNAcentral describes it as "long non-coding RNA (DCAR_LNC002794)". The record is from RNAcentral. Lineage: Eukaryota; Viridiplantae; Streptophyta; Magnoliopsida; Apiales; Apiaceae.
UGGUGCACAAAAACUACAUGGCUGGAGAAACAUUCGAAACUUAAUAUGAAAAUCAUUGUAGUAAAAGCCUCUUUGGCACUCUUUCCUUUAAGAAAGGAAAUGAGGGGGGAACUGUGGCAUGCUUUCUCUCACAGCAUCGAUUAGAACCUCUCUAUCAUUUUAUCAUAAGUCGUCCCUGUAUACAAAUUGUUUUCAGUGGAAUAUUGUCAAUAUCAUGCUGUAUAGUUUGCCCAAUGAAAUUUAAUAUUUGUUGCAGUGAAUUGGAAAUUUAGUCCCUUCUUUAUUUCUCAUUCACAUUCUUAUAGGCCCUAUAGCAUUGGCACAAGUAAAGCCUAAAAAGAGAAUAUAUUUUUGGUUUUUACCUAGAACCAUUAGUUUAAAUCUGUAUUAGAAGCAUUUUGUAAUUUUGUCAAAACUUACUUUAACAACAACUACAUCCUCAGAAAAGAGAGUUUAGCAUUAGAUCUGCCACAUGUAUUAGCUUUCGUUGACAAGACUUCCUAGAUACUCCCUCCGUCUCAAUUUAUAGGUCCAUUUUGGAAUAAACACACAUAUUAAGAAAAAAGUUGGUUAGAUGGAAUCUUAUCUCAUGUAUCAUUAAUUAGUGCAUUGAUAAGUGAGAAUAUUGUUGAGUUUCAAAAAAAUCACAAUAAAUAUAGGGAUUUAGUGCAUUGAGAAAUGAGAAUAAUGUUGAGUUUCAAAAAAAUCACAAUUAAUAUGUAGAUAAAUUUGUAUUGAGAGAAGAGAGGGACAAGUAUUUUGGGACAAUUUUUUUUUCCAAAAUGGACAUAUAAAUUGAGACGGAGGGAGUAUUAUAUAAACGGUUCGGUUUCGGUUCGGUUUUAGGGAUAAAACCGUAACCGUUACCAAACCGUUAUUUCGGUUCGGUUCGGUUACGGUUUUUUCCGGUUUUUGUCGGUUACGGUUUUUUUCGGUUUGGUUUUUCGGUUUUUCGGCUCGGUUUCGGUUUUCCGGUUUUUGUUUGCUCACCCCUUGCUGGCAGCCUAUAUAUUACUAAUCUAAAUGAAGUGAUGUAAACUUCUGUUGCAGAUUACAGACGGAUGGUGCACAAAAACUACAUGGCUGGAGAAACAUUCGAAACUUAAUAUGAAAAUCAUUGUAGUAAAAGCCUCUUUGGCCCUCUUUCCUUUAAGAAAGGAAAUGAGGGGGGAACUGUGGCAUGCUUUCUCUCACAGCAUCGAUUAGAACCUCUCUAUCAUUUUAUCAUAAGUCGUCCCUGUAUACAAAUUGUUUUCAGUGGAAUAUUGUCAAUAUCAUGCUGUAUAGUUUGCCCAAUGAAAUUUAAUAUUUGUUGCAGUGAAUUGGAAAUUUAGUCCCUUCUUUAUUUCUCAUUCACAUUCUUAUAGGCCCUAUAGCAUUGGCACAAGUAAAGCCUAAAAAGAGAAUAUAUUUUUGGUUUUUACCUAGAACCAUUAGUUUAAAUCUGUAUUAGAAGCAUUUUGUAAUUUUGUCAAAACUUACUUUAACAACAACUACAUCCUCAGAAAAGAGAGUUUAGCAUUAGAUCUGC